UAACACGUAAACAACCUGCCUUCAGGAUGGGGAAAACAGACGGAAACGACUGCUAAUACCGAAUGUGUUCCGGGGACCGCAUGAUUUCCGGAAGAAAGGAUGGCCUCUAUUUAUAAGCUAUCGCCUGAAGAGGGGUUUGCGUCUGAUUAGGCAGUUGGUGAGGUAACGGCCCACCAAACCUACGACCAGUAGCCGGUCUGAGAGGAUGAACGGCCACACUGGAACUGAGACACGGUCCAGACUCCUACGGGAGGCAGCAGUGGGGAAUCUUCCGCAAUGGACGAAAGUCUGACGGAGCAACGCCGCGUGAGUGAUGACGGCCUUCGGGUUGUAAAGCUCUNUUAUCGGGGACGAAUGGCUGGUAUGCUAAUACCAUAUCAGAGUGACGGUACCCGAAUAGCAAGCCACGGCUAACUACGUGCCAGCAGCCGCGGUAAUACGUAGGUGGCAAGCGUUGUCCGGAAUUAUUGGGCGUAAAGCGCGCGCAGGCGGCUUCUUAAGUCCAUCUUAAAAGUGCGGGGCUUAACCCCGUGAUGGGAUGGAAACUGGGAGGCUGGAGUAUCGGAGAGGAAAGUGGAAUUCCUAGUGUAGCGGUGAAAUGCGUAGAGAUUAGGAAGAACACCGGUGGCGAAGGCGACUUUCUGGACGACAACUGACGCUGAGGCGCGAAAGCGUGGGGAGCAAACAGGAUUAGAUACCCUGGUAGU
Molecule: ribosomal RNA, 707 nt
Filed under: uncultured bacterium
Lineage: Bacteria
Description: bacterial SSU rRNA
Rfam family: Bacterial small subunit ribosomal RNA
Source: RNAcentral